AUGAACGCUGGCGGCGUGCUUAACACAUGCAAGUCGAACGGGAAUUAUUUUAUUGAAACUUCGGUCGAUUUUAUUUAAUUCUAGUGGCGGACGGGUGAGUAACGCGUGGGUAACCUGCCUUAUACAGGGGGAUAACAGUCAGAAAUGGCUGCUAAUACCGCAUAAGCGCACAGAGCUGCAUGGCUCAGUGUGAAAAACUCCGGUGGUAUAAGAUGGACCCGCGUUGGAUUAGCUUGUUGGCAGGGUAACGGCCUACCAAGGCGACGAUCCAUAGCCGGCCUGAGAGGGUGAACGGCCACAUUGGGACUGAGACACGGCCCAGACUCCUACGGGAGGCAGCAGUGGGGAAUAUUGCACAAUGGGGGAAACCCUGAUGCAGCGACGCCGCGUGAAGGAAGAAGUAUCUCGGUAUGUAAACUUCUAUCAGCAGGGAAGAUAGUGACGGUACCUGACUAAGAAGCCCCGGCUAACUACGUG
RNAcentral lists this ribosomal RNA (477 nucleotides) under uncultured bacterium. RNAcentral's name for it is "partial 16S ribosomal RNA". It matches the Rfam family "Bacterial small subunit ribosomal RNA", at positions 29 to 507 of the family's 1533-position model. The record is from RNAcentral.